GACGAACGCUGGCGGCGUGCUUAACACAUGCAAGUCGAACGGAAAGGCCCUGCUUUUGUGGGGCGCUCGAGUGGCGAACGGGUGAGUAACACGUGAGUAACCUGCCCUUGACUUUGGGAUAACUUCAGGAAACUGGGGCUAAUACCGGAUAGGAGCUCCUGCUGCAUGGUGGGGGUUGGAAAGUUUCGGCGGUUGGGGAUGGACUCGCGGCUUAUCAGCUUGUUGGUGGGGUAGUGGCUUACCAAGGCUUUGACGGGUAGCCGGCCUGAGAGGGUGACCGGCCACAUUGGGACUGAGAUACGGCCCAGACUCCUACGGGAGGCAGCAGUGGGGAAUAUUGCACAAUGGGCGGAAGCCUGAUGCAGCAACGCCGCGUGCGGGAUGACGGCCUUCGGGUUGUAAACCGCUUUCGCCUGUGACGAAGCGUGAGUGACGGUAAUGGGUAAAGAAGCACCGGCUAACUACGUGCCAGCAGCCGCGGUGAUACGUAGGGUGCGAGCGUUGUCCGGAUUUAUUGGGCGUAAAGGGCUCGUAGGUGGUUGAUCGCGUCGGAAGUGUAAUCUUGGGGCUUAACCCUGAGCGUGCUUUCGAUACGGGUUGACUUGAGGAAGGUAGGGGAGAAUGGAAUUCCUGGUGGAGCGGUGGAAUGCGCAGAUAUCAGGAGGAACACCAGUGGCGAAGGCGGUUCUCUGGGCCUUUCCUGACGCUGAGGAGCGAAAGCGUGGGGAGCGAACAGGCUUAGAUACCCUGGUAGUCCACGCUGUAAACGGUGGGUACUAGGUGUGGGGUCCAUUCCACGGGUUCCGUGCCGUAGCUAGCGCUUUAAGUACCCCGCCUGGGGAGUACGGCCGCAAGGCUAAAACUCAAAGGAAUUGACGGGGCCCCGCACAAGCGGCGGAGCAUGCGGAUUAAUUCGAUGCAACGCGUAGAACCUUACCUGGGUUUGACAUGGAUCGGGAGUGCUCAGAGAUGGGUGUGCCUCUUUUGGGGUCGGUUCACAGGUGGUGCAUGGCUGUCGUCAGCUCGUGUCGUGAGAUGUUGGGUUAAGUCCCGCAACGAGCGCAACCCUUGUUCACUGUUGCCAGCACGUUAUGGUGGGGACUCAGUGGAGACCGCCGGGGUCAACUCGGAGGAAGGUGGGGAUGACGUCAAGUCAUCAUGCCCCUUAUGUCCAGGGCUUCACGCAUGCUACAAUGGCUGGUACAGAGAGUGGCGAGCCUGUGAGGGUGAGCGAAUCUCGGAAAGCCGGUCUCAGUUCGGAUUGGGAUCUGCAACUCGACCUCAUGAAGUCGGAGUCGCUAGUAAUCGCAGAUCAGCAACGCUGCGGUGAAUACGUUCCCGGGGCU
This 1346-nucleotide ribosomal RNA is filed under the name uncultured bacterium. RNAcentral describes it as "partial 16S ribosomal RNA". It matches the Rfam family "Bacterial small subunit ribosomal RNA", at positions 28 to 1381 of the family's 1533-position model. The record is from RNAcentral.